Sinocyclocheilus anshuiensis is the source of this 170-nucleotide long non-coding RNA. RefSeq lists it as uncharacterized. The transcript is spliced from 3 exons. Lineage: Eukaryota; Metazoa; Chordata; Actinopteri; Cypriniformes; Cyprinidae. The record is from RefSeq and is a predicted model, not a curated record.
UGUUUACCAUGCCACAAGCAUGUUGAAAGAUGUGACAACUGAAGACUUUCCGACUGCAAUUGGAGAAACAGAGGAAAGCGAAAUAGAGACCAACAACUGCAUAGCCCAGGACAUAAAAGCCUGCAUUUAUCAAAACACAGGAGAUAAAACUCUGCAUCCACACAUCAAAC